Molecule: ribosomal RNA, 818 nt
Filed under: uncultured bacterium
Lineage: Bacteria
Description: bacterial SSU rRNA
Rfam family: Bacterial small subunit ribosomal RNA
Source: RNAcentral
AGAGGUUGAUUCUGGCUCAGGAUUAACGCUGGCGGCAUGCCUAAUACAUGCAAGUCGAACGGAAAAUAUAGAAGUGCUUGCACAUUUAUAUUUUUAGUGGCGAACGGGUGAGUAAUAUAUAGAUAACCUACCUUCCAGUUGGGGAUAACAGAGGGAAACUUCUGCUAAUACCGAAUAUGAUAAAGAAACACAAGUAAUUUUAUUGAAAGGGGCUCCAAAGCCUCGCUAGAAGAGGGGUCUAUAUCGCAUUAGCUAGUUGGUAAGAUAACAGCCUACCAAGGCGAUGAUGCGUAGCUGUACUGAGAGGUAGAACAGCCACAUUGGGACUGAGAUACGGCCCAAACUCCUACGGGAGGCAGCAGUAGGGAAUUUUCGGCAAUGGGGGGAACCCUGACCGAGCAAUGCCGCGUGAUUGAAGACGGUCUUCGGACUGUAAAGAUCUGUUAUUAGGGAAGAAUUUUUACUUUAGGAAAUGGAAGUAAAUUGACGGUGCCUAAUGAGGAAGCCCCGGCUAACUAUGUGCCAGCAGCCGCGGUAAUACAUAGGGGGCAAGCGUUAUCCGGAAUUAUUGGGCGUAAAGGGUACGUAGGCGGGCUUGCAAGUCUGAUUUGAAAGCACAUGGCUUAACCAUGUGAGGUAAUUAGAAACUACGAGUCUAGAGAGUGGUAGAGGUAAAUGGAAUUCCAAGUGGAGCGGUGAAAUGCGUAGAGAUUUGGAGGAACACCAGUGGCGAAGGCGGUUUACUGGGCCACAUCUGACGCUGAUGUACGAAAGCGUGGGGAGCAAACAGGAUUAGAUACCCUGGUAGUCCACGCCGU